CAAAAUUAACUGAGGAUUUUCACCUUCAGCUCUCUACACAGCUCUCCUGAUGCUGUAGAGAGAGCUUAAAGCCAGGCUAGAUGAACUGGGCUUUGGGAGAGCCAAGAUUUCAGGCUGAGCCCAGCAUAGGAUGCAUGAGCACCAUGUUCUUUGCUCUGUAGGCCGCUGCUAAUUACCAGAGCUAUUAGCUCCUUCUAAGCUACUUAUUAAAAUAAUUAGCAUAGACCUCCUCUGUUACAGACUAGACUCUGUUACAGACUAGUUGCUUAACAUUAAUGAACAAAUUGCCUGUCCCUGGUCUUUGUGCUAAUAAUCUAAUGACAAGGACAGCUUUUGCUAUAAACUUGUUCUGAGCUGGUUGCUUUCAGUAAGACUUUUAACAGAUGAAAAGAUGAAAUUAGUGUUUGCUCUGUCAGCAGGAAUGGGUAACAGAAACUGGCCUGUAAACAAUGAACAAUUAUGCUGGGAAUUAACUCCCAAGGAGAGGACAGACUCUUUCAGAGUAUAACCAGACAGAGAUUAUGUAAGGUUUCUCUCAACCACAUCCAAGUCAACCAGAAUUCUUGGUUUCCCUUGUCCACUUCUCAGCUGAAGUAGAGGUUUCUGCUUCUCUUCCACCAACAUUUUGAUGUGUCAAAUCCCUUCUCAGUAAAAGCACAUGGAUUUUAUGGCCUUCGUAGUACUGCUGUUGGUUUUUUAUUUUAUUUUACUGUAUUUUUUUAAGAGUGGAGGAAAAAGGAAAACUGAGAAAAAGGAGCCUAAUUAGAGAAAAUGGGCUUAAUUUGGAAGCCACGGGUACGUCUUUAAUAAGCCUUUGUUGAGCUUUUGCCCACAGUAAAUUUAUACAAGCUUUGGAUAGAUGGUAGAUCUGUGUUUACUGUGGCCUGCUUUAAAUGGAGAGCUUUCAGCACUACUUUGCCAAAAGCUAAGGGUGCUGAUGAGGUAAUGAAACCAACAAGUCCUGGGAAAUGCCCACUCAGCUAGGAGGAACCUUUCCUUGGGUCCCUUGGUUGUUGAGGUCUGUGUAAAAUAGUAUUUGUUUCAGUAAGAUGCUUGCUAGCUCCCUCACUGUGGAUUUAAUAUCUUUUAUGAGGUUUGAUUCCUCAGUUCUUUGCUGCCUUCUGUCUUGCUGGUCAGACUUUUCGGAGCUCUUUCAAAAAGACUGGCAUUUAUUAUCACGAUUUCAUCUCUUAGGUUCUGGCCAGCCUGCUUCUGGAAGGUUGCAUGUAAGAGUGCAACCUUCAAGAAUGCUGAUUUAACUGAACCACCCUGAAUUGAAUGAAGCGUGAGAUGUAUGCACCUGCCAAUUGGAUGGGAGUCACUUAGAAUCCAUCUCAUCCCAAGCAGAGGGUGGCAGUCCUUGCAGAAUUGGUAGCCGUUUACUGUUGGUUAUUCUUCACACUCAGAAUCAGUCCCUGUACAUUUUCUGCUGCACACUGUAUCUUGAUCUGAAGAUGUGCCAAGUUUUACUAUUUGGAGAGGAACCACUGAGCAUGUAUGCUGUAAGGGAUUACUGGAAGUGAUUUGCUGGCACAAAAAGAUUUGCUGUAUGUAACAGGGAAGUAGAUGGUCUCAUUCUUCUGAAUAUAUCUCAGUGCUUGGGGAAUUAAAGCUCUAGUGUGUUGUGUGGGUGGGUUGUUUGUUUUGUUUUUUUUUUUAAACAUAUUAUUCUGACAUUUGGCCAUUUCCUGGCAUGUGGCCAAGGUUUCCAUGCUGCCUGUGGAGGAGGGAAGUGGGUGUGGAGGCAUAGUGCUUUUGAGGGCAGUAGUUCCCUAAUUUUGGGCAGCAGUGGAGUCUUGUGUGCCUCUGUCCAGAAUGGUUUGGCAGGAGUUGGUGUGUAAUUAGUAGGAAUGCAAGAGGUGCCUUGAAUGCUUUAAAACUUACAAUAUUAGAGCUGUGCCAGAAUAAAUAGCAGCUUUCUGCUGCAGACCUGGAGUUUGAUCAUCAGCCCUUGCAACAAAAACACUCCACUGAGCCUGAGCCUUUAUGGCACCUGGGUUCUAUCCCAUUAGAUUUCAUUGCUUUUGUCCGUCACACCUUUUCAGUCUGCUUAGUUGAACAGGUAUGUUUUCCAUCACCCAGAGGGAAACUGGGCAGUCUGGGGAUAUGUUAAUGAGUGACGUAAUUACGAAAGUCACUUAGCACUUUGGCGGUAUAUCAGGACAUAUGUGACUUUGGAUUAUUCCCAGGUUACCAAUGUUUUAGGUCUGUUUAUUUUCAGUAAAACAUUACUAGUGCGUGAAAUUACUGCUAGGAUCUCAAGAGGUUUCAGAGGAGAAUGUUAAUGUUGUUAGAAUCUAGCACAUUGAAAAGGAAACUGGGAAAAGGUACAUAAAGGUAGGGAGGUGGGGGCUAAUUACAAGCUCAAUUAAAAUAUCUAAAGGAAUACAAAGCAUAGUCUAAGUGGUAACAAAGACACAACAGAAAUCAAAUCCUUCUCUGGACUGUGGCCUCUGUGACAGAAAACAGGUUCUGCUCUGGUUUUACAAGGGUAUUGAGAUUCCUUAACGAGAGUACUUGGGAAAAGAGAAGGAUAUAAAGUAAUCCCAUUAUAGAAGGUUUUUGUGUAAUAAUCAGCUGAGUGGUGUUGGAGUCGCGUGCACAUAGCAGGAGCAUGAAGGCUGGUUUCUAACCCCCCAGGCCUCCCCCCUGUUCCACUCUGUAGGUCAGCAGGUCUUUCCCACACUUACUCUUUCUUACUAGAGUCAGUUUUAUAUUAUAUGUAUAUAUAUGUGUGUAUAUAUAUAUAUAUAUAUAUAUAUAUAUUUAAUAGAUGUGUAGGACCACAAUUGUUAGCUCAGCCACUUCAGCUAAGGGAUAGAACCAAAGAUCAGAGUUAACAGCAGCGAUGGUGUCAGACAUGUUUUAAAUGGAUUAAAUGCGGCAGAAGCUGUUUAUACAUCUCAGCGGG
Long non-coding RNA from Columba livia (rock pigeon), 2911 nucleotides. RefSeq lists it as uncharacterized. The transcript has 3 exons. The record is from RefSeq and is a predicted model, not a curated record. Lineage: Eukaryota; Metazoa; Chordata; Aves; Columbiformes; Columbidae.